RNAcentral lists this ribosomal RNA (274 nucleotides) under uncultured bacterium. RNAcentral describes it as "partial 16S ribosomal RNA". It matches the Rfam family "Bacterial small subunit ribosomal RNA", at positions 523 to 796 of the family's 1533-position model. The record is from RNAcentral.
AUACGGAGGGUGCAAGCGUUGUUCGGAAUCACUGGGCGUAAAGGGCGCGCAGGCGGUUUGGUAAGUCAGAUGUGAAGGCCCACGGCUCAACCGUGGAAGUGCAUUUGAAACUGUCAGACUUGAGUACUAGAGGGGAAAGUGGAAUUCCCGGUGUAGAGGUGAAAUUCGUAGAUAUCGGGAGGAAUACCGGUGGCGAAGGCGACUUUCUGGCUAGAUACUGACGCUGAGGCGCGAAAGCGUGGGGAGCAAACAGGAUUAGAAACCCCAGUAGUCC